RNAcentral lists this transfer RNA (84 nucleotides) under Termitomyces sp. T159_Od127. RNAcentral's name for it is "tRNA-Gly". It matches the Rfam family "tRNA". From Rfam's summary of the family: Transfer RNA (tRNA) molecules are approximately 80 nucleotides in length. Their secondary structure includes four short double-helical elements and three loops (D, anti-codon, and T loops). Lineage: Eukaryota; Fungi; Basidiomycota; Agaricomycetes; Agaricales; Lyophyllaceae. The record is from RNAcentral.
GCAUUAAUGGGGUAGUGGUAACCUGGGUCGUUGCCAUUGGCAAGUAAUUUCGACCCGCCGGGGGUUCGAUUCCCCCUUAAUGCA